This 147-nucleotide small nuclear RNA is filed under the name Sphenodon punctatus (tuatara). RNAcentral describes it as "U2 spliceosomal RNA (ENSSPUG00000018547.1)". It matches the Rfam family "U2 spliceosomal RNA", at positions 38 to 185 of the family's 192-position model. From Rfam's summary of the family: U2 is a small nuclear RNA (snRNA) component of the spliceosome (involved in pre-mRNA splicing). Complementary binding between U2 snRNA (in an area lying towards the 5' end but 3' to hairpin I) and the branchpoint sequence (BPS) of the intron results the bulging out of an unpaired adenosine, on the BPS, which initiates a nucleophilic attack at the intronic 5' splice site, thus starting the first of two transesterification reactions that mediate splicing. The record is from RNAcentral. Lineage: Eukaryota; Metazoa; Chordata; Lepidosauria; Sphenodontia; Sphenodontidae.
AUCUGUUUUUAUCAGUUUAAUAUCUGAUAUGUCCUCUAUUUGAGGACUACAUAUUAAAUGGGUUUUUGGAACAGGGAGAUGGAAUAGGGGCUUGCUCCAUCCACUCCGCGCAUCGACCUGGUAUUGCAGUAUCUCCAGGAACGGUGC